This 429-nucleotide ribosomal RNA is filed under the name Gemmatimonadota bacterium. RNAcentral describes it as "Gemmatimonadetes bacterium partial 16S ribosomal RNA". It matches the Rfam family "Bacterial small subunit ribosomal RNA", at positions 355 to 776 of the family's 1533-position model. Lineage: Bacteria; Pseudomonadati; Gemmatimonadota. The record is from RNAcentral.
UAGGGAAUCUUCGGCAAUGGACGAAAGUCUGACCGAGCAACGCCGCGUGAGUGAAGAAGGUUUUCGGAUCGUAAAACUCUGUUGUUAGAGAAGAACAAGGACGUUAGUAACUGAACGUCCCCUGACGGUAUCUAACCAGAAAGCCACGGCUAACUACGUGCCAGCAGCCGCGGUAAUACGUAGGUGGCAAGCGUUGUCCGGAUUUAUUGGGCGUAAAGCGAGCGCAGGCGGUUUCUUAAGUCUGAUGUGAAAGCCCCCGGCUCAACCGGGGAGGGUCAUUAGAAACUGGGAGACUUGAGUGCAGAAGAGGAGAGUGGAAUUCCAUGUGUAGCGGUGAAAUGCGUAGAUAUAUGGAGGAACACCAGUAGCGAAGGCGGCUCUCUGGUCUGUAACUGACGCUGAGGCUCGAAAGCGUGGGGAGCAAACAGG